AUCCUUUCUCUUGCUAGCUUGUUCAUGUCUUCAAGCAUGGACUGUGCUGUUUCAAUUCCAGCAAAUGCAAAUUGUUGUCAAUGCUGAUCAGGAAAUCGCAGAAGCAGCGUAGUACCUGUUUCAUUAGGUAGCAAAAACACCCCACAAAAACGAGCAGAAAGAUGACCUGAUCUGUUGAUGCUCUUUCGAUUUCUGAUACUGGAAUGCUUGGUUUAAGGGAAGGAUAUAGUCUAUGGAGAUCCUGCAGUGUCCAUAUCAGUAGCUGCAGAGAAAAUCAGGAGACAUGAGAAGAAUUCAGAAGUCAACUUGCAAACGCUGAUCUUGUCAUGGACACCUGGAGCUCUAUGAAGAAAGACAAUUACGAAACCCGUAAUCAAAGAUUACCUCAUUCACAGAAGCAGAGCCAAUGCAGGGAGAUAAGUCAAGCAAGUCCCUGAAGGUCAGAACCUUCGUCCGAAUAUCUGUCAUCUUUACAAAGUUCCCUGCAACCCCGCGUGACUUGACAACUGCAGUAUUCUUCAUUUGUUUUUGAUUUUUUGAUGCUUUAGAGCUUUUACUUGCUUGUUCUUUACCCUGUAAACAUUCCAGGCAUAUACUUGUUACUUUCCUCCAUUUUGCAGAUCUGCCUUCUUAUUGUUGUUUACUUCAUAUGACU
Molecule: non-coding RNA, 655 nt
Organism: Coffea arabica (coffee)
Lineage: Eukaryota; Viridiplantae; Streptophyta; Magnoliopsida; Gentianales; Rubiaceae
Source: RefSeq, a predicted model, not a curated record